This 479-nucleotide ribosomal RNA is filed under the name Streptococcus parasanguinis. RNAcentral describes it as "bacterial SSU rRNA". It matches the Rfam family "Bacterial small subunit ribosomal RNA", at positions 32 to 491 of the family's 1533-position model. Lineage: Bacteria; Bacillati; Bacillota; Bacilli; Lactobacillales; Streptococcaceae. The record is from RNAcentral.
AACGCUGGCGGCGUGCAUAAUACAUGCUAAGUAGAACGCUGUAGCUUGGUGCUUGCACCGAGCGGAUGAGUUGCGACGGGUGAGUAACGCGUAGGUAACCUGCCUCUUAGCGGGGGAUAACUAUUGGAAACGAUAGCUAAUACCGCAUAAAAGUCGAUAUCGCAUGAUAUUGAUUUGAAAGGUGCAAUUGCAUCACUAAGAGAUGGACCUGCGUUGUACUAGCUAGUUGGUGAGGUAACGGCUCACCAAGGCGACGAUACAUAGCCGACCUGAGAGGGUGAUCGGCCACACUGGGACUGAGACACGGCCCAGACUCCUACGGGAGGCAGCAGUAGGGAAUCUUCGGCAAUGGGGGCAACCCUGACCGAGCAACGCCGCGUGAGUGAAGAAGGUUUUCGGAUCGUAAAGCUCUGUUGUAAGAGAAGAACGAGCUGUUGAGAGUGGAAAGUUCACAACUGUGACGGUACUUACCGGAAAGG